Molecule: ribosomal RNA, 465 nt
Filed under: uncultured bacterium
Lineage: Bacteria
Description: partial 16S ribosomal RNA
Rfam family: Bacterial small subunit ribosomal RNA
Source: RNAcentral
GAUGAACGCUGGCGGCGUGCUUAACACAUGCAAGUCGAACGGAAAGGCUCCUGCUUGCAGCGGUACUCGAGUGGCGAACGGGUGAGUAACACGUGGGUGAUCUGCCCUGCACUUCGGGAUAAGCCUGGGAAACUGGGUCUAAUACCGGAUAGGACCACAUUUUGGAUGGUGUGGUGGAAAGUUUUUCGGUGUGGGAUGAGCUCGCGGCCUAUCAGCUUGUUGGUGGGGUAAUGGCCUACCAAGGCGUCGACGGGUAGCCGGCCUGAGAGGGUGUACGGCCACAUUGGGACUGAGAUACGGCCCAGACUCCUACGGGAGGCAGCAGUGGGGAAUAUUGCACAAUGGGCGCAAGCCUGAUGCAGCGACGCCGCGUGGGGGAUGACGGCCUUCGGGUUGUAAACUCCUUUCGCUAGGGACGAAGCGCAAGUGACGGUACCUGGAGAAGAGGCACCGGCUAACUACGUG